AUCAUUGAGACGCAGAAGUCUCAAAGUGUCGGAUUGUUCACCCGCCAAUAGGGAACGUGAGCUGGGUUUAGACCGUCGUGAGACAGGUUAGUUUUACCCUACUGACAAAGUAGAUACUGCGACAGUAGUCGAAGUUAGUACGAGAGGAACACUUCGUCCAGAUACUUGGUUAAUGCCGUUGUCUGAAAAGACAGUACGGCGAAGCUACCAUCUGCUGGAUUACGGCUGAACGCCUCUAAGCCGGAAUCCAUGCUGGAUAAGCAGUGUUGUACACCGUGCUCAAUGCUACAAGAAAAAGGCUAGGUCAGGCUUCGCCCUGACCAAAAUUCAAGCUGCUAUACCUCUGGCUGCAUUGACUUGUGGUCAGAGUGUAUGGUGAUCAUAGCAAUUGCAAGUAUUGGGCUCGAUAAAUCCUUUGAAGACGACUUAAUUGCAUCCGGGUAUUGUAAGUGUUGAGAGUAGGCUUAGUCUUACGAUCCACUGAGAUUCAUCCCGUGUUGCGCCGAUUUGU
This 511-nucleotide non-coding RNA is filed under the name Perkinsus marinus ATCC 50983. RNAcentral describes it as "Eukaryotic large subunit ribosomal RNA". It matches the Rfam family "Eukaryotic large subunit ribosomal RNA", at positions 2896 to 3401 of the family's 3401-position model. The record is from Rfam by way of RNAcentral. Lineage: Eukaryota; Perkinsozoa; Perkinsida; Perkinsidae.